CCUACGGGUGGCAGCAGUGGGGAAUAUUGGACAAUGGGGGCAACCCUGAUCCAGCCAUGCCGCGUGUGUGAAGAAGGCCCUCGGGUUGUAAAGCACUUUCAGUGAGGAAGAACGCCUGGUGGUUAAUACCCAUCAGGAAAGACAUCACUCACAGAAGAAGCACCGGCUAACUCCGUGCCAGCAGCCGCGGUAAUACGGAGGGUGCGAGCGUUAAUCGGAAUUACUGGGCGUAAAGCGCGCGUAGGUGGCUUGAUAAGCCGGUUGUGAAAGCCCCGGGCUCAACCUGGGAACGGCAUCCGGAACUGUCAAGCUAGAGUGCAGGAGAGGAAGGUAGAAUUCCCGGUGUAGCGGUGAAAUGCGUAGAGAUCGGGAGGAAUACCAGUGGCGAAGGCGGCCUUCUGGACUGACACUGACACUGAGGUGCGAAAGCGUGGGUAUCAAACAGGAUUAGAUACCCUUGUAGUC
RNAcentral lists this ribosomal RNA (465 nucleotides) under Vreelandella stevensii. RNAcentral's name for it is "partial 16S ribosomal RNA". It matches the Rfam family "Bacterial small subunit ribosomal RNA", at positions 338 to 795 of the family's 1533-position model. Lineage: Bacteria; Pseudomonadati; Pseudomonadota; Gammaproteobacteria; Oceanospirillales; Halomonadaceae. The record is from RNAcentral.